Molecule: unclassified non-coding RNA, 800 nt
Filed under: Hevea brasiliensis (rubber tree)
Lineage: Eukaryota; Viridiplantae; Streptophyta; Magnoliopsida; Malpighiales; Euphorbiaceae
Source: RNAcentral
GGUUGGAGUGUGCUCUGUCACUACUACAGGAGGAUGCAUAUAGAUAGUGGGUGACAGUAUCUAGAGUAGUACAGCCUGCACAGAUCACCUGGGAGUUCUUUCUGGCUGAAUUCAGAAAGAAAUACAUCAGUCAUGUGUACUUGGAGGCCAGAAGAAGAGAAUUCCUGGCACUAAGACAGAGGCAGCUGACAGUCUCCGAAUAUGAGCGAGAAUUCGUGAGACUUAGCGAAUAUGCAUUGGAGUUGAUGCCGACAGAGGUUGAUAAAUGCAGAAGAUUUGAGGACGGACUGAAUGACAACAUCAGGUUGAUAGUGACAUCUCACCACUUCACAGAUUUCUCUCUGUUGAUAGCAUCAGCCCUUGAUGUGGAGAGAGUCAGAAAUGAAGAGCAGUCCAGAAAGGAUAGGCAACGCAAGAGGGGUUCUGGGUCUGGUCAGUCCGGUUCAGCAGACACGGGUAGUAAGAGACCCAAGGAGUCUCAGGGUCAGACUCAAGGUCGGGGCAAGAAACAGAAGUCUCGGUUUGCUCCAAGGAGAGGAGGAGGACAAUCUGGUGCAUCAGUGGGUAGUUCACCUGGUGCAGCUACACGGGGAUCAGCCCCACCACCUGCUUGUGUACAUUGUGGUAGACCCCACAGAGGAGAGUGCAGAUUGUUGACAGGUGGAUGUUUCAGAUGUGGGUCUACGGAUCACUUCCUGAAGGAUUGUCCACAGAGGAACACUAGUGCUCCCACUGCUCCACCUCAGAUGGAGAGGUCUGCCCCAGCAGCACAGAGGGGUAGGAGACCUGCGAGGCCUGAU